CGUUGGAUAUCUUUCCUGAUCCAGCGGCUGAAAAUGAAACCCUAGCCUCACUGUACACGAUUGCCACUCUAUCCUCUGCCAUCUCUCUCAGUCCUUCCAAGUCGGUGAGAGAGACUCAGUCGAUCGUUCUUCUGGAUUUAUAUUUUUCGGCUACAGGUCUUACUUUCUUUCGUAUGUGGAAAUGUUAGACUCCAUCUGAUUCAUUUGUGAUUUUAGAGAUAAUAUAAAUAGAACUCUAUAUUAUGUUCUGCAAGGGCUUACUCACAAUCAAUGCUCCCAUCUUGAGGCAAUUUUCCUCAUCAGCACCGAAUGUGCUUAAAAUUGGAGACGUCUUGAGUGAAACAAGAGUAUUUACGACACAGGAUGUUGUCGACUAUGCUAAAGUGAGCCAUGACUCAAAUCCUCUGCAUUUUGAUUCUGAAGUUGCUCAAAAUGCUGGAUUUGAGGAUCGCCUAGUUCAUGGGAUGCUUGUUGCUUCGCUAUUUCCUCGGAUUAUUUCCUCCUAUUUUCCUGGGGCUGUAUAUGUUUCCCAAAGCUUGCAAUUCAGAUCGCCUGUCUAUGUUGGAGAUGAAAUUUUGGGAGAGAUACAUGCUAUUAAUUUAAGAGAAACCAAGAAGAAAUAUCUGGCAAAACUGACAACAAAGUGCUUCAAGAAUGGCCGGCUUCUUGUUCUUGAAGGUGAAGCUUUGGCCAUCUUACCAUCUCUAGCUGUGGAACAACGACACUCUUUGGCUGAUAAUAGCUAAUCCAAAGGUAUGAAGCAAAAUAUAUCGUCUCUGAUCAGCAUCUAGUAGCUGCUGUGCAUUUGCUGGUUUCCUUUGCGAUGCUACUAAAAAUAGCUAUUCUAGAUUCCUUCUGUGUCCUAGUAUGUUGCAAUCGUUUGUAAUCUUAUCGUGGUUUGGCAAGGGCUUUCCCCAAAAUGAGGCUUACUUGAGCAAAGAAAUCAUGUUAGUCCUGCUUCUAUUGCCCAAGGUCGGCCGAUGCUACGAUGGCGUGGGGCCUAUUUUCUGUUUCUUCAUUUAAAAAAAAUUACACAUGGAAAGAAAAGAGGAACUUUAGGUUUCUGAAUCAUAAUGAAAUAGAAAUAAAUAUAUCAAGCAAUGCAGCCAUCAUAGUCCCACAGGUGUGCCAACCAUGCAUGUACAAUAUGGCCAGCUGUAUUCAAUUUGAAUUUGUGUUCUUUUCUAGUUAAAUGCAUCUAAGAAAAAUAUUUGAAUGAUAGUAACUACAUAACCAACCACCAGCAGGGAAGAAAAGGGAUAAGGAAUUAAAAACAAUCAAUAGCACUGUAAAAUAACCUAAAAGAAAAAAAAAUCCUAUAUAUUUAUCACAAUUUAACAAACAGUUGGGCUGGCCUUUGUUGAGAUUGAGCUUCAGUCACUAGGCCUAUGCUAAUCUGAAAUUGAUUAGACCUAUGUUUUAGCUUUGUGCUUCGCCCGACAGGACCAACACCUCUUUAAGUAUUUAUGGGGCAUGCUGCCCUGUGAUAAGAUCUUUAGCAUACUUUUAUUUUCACUUGAAUAUAUUAUUCUGAUUUCUGAAAUGUUGUGGUUGUGUUCAUGUGAUGUGCUUGGAUGUUGUUGAGUGGAGAGAACUGAUUGAACGGUGGAUAUAUUGUGUAUGAGAGUUCCUUAAUUGAGGUAAAGUGAGCUAGUUUUUUUUAUAGAUGAUUCCCAGUUGCAUGUGGAUGGUGCCCCUUUGUUGCCUCAGUUAAUCUAAUUCAGUUUUUUUCACUGCUGGAAGAAAUCUCUCUAAGUAACGGUUGUAGUCAUGUCUGUUGGCUAGGUGGACCCUCCCCCAUACUGAGUAACUGUGAUAAUUUGCCUACUUUACAACCUCUAGUUCAACCCAAUGUUCAUUAUACAUUUUUCAAGCUCGCUCAACUUGUGUCUGUUAGUUUGAAUACUGCAAGGUCAGAAGAUCAUCAAGACAAGUGUGUUUCAUUUUUUUGCCAAUUUAGGGCAUGAGAUUCCCAAUAAUCAGAGUAGCUGUCAACAAAGGGAUUCUUAAAAAUAAAAUUCACACUUCAAUUUCUGUUCUUUCUUAUGCAUGAGAAGUUUGCAGGAAAUUAAAAGGAGCGUUGAUGCUGGAUGGAAUCUCCUCUUCCCAAGUAAAAUUUGGUUUCUGCCAUAUGCACGAAAGUGAAUUGAAAAGGUGAACUCAUAAUUUUUGGCCAAUUGUUCUAUACUAACCUGCAACCAAUUUUGUCGAGAGAAAAUGUAUGCUUACUCAUUAUUAGGCAGCAAAGUGAAGAAGUUAAUCAACUGUGUCGGCUCAGCAUAUACUUUUAUGUAAUUUUGUAGUUUGUACAAGCAAUAUUUUUUUGGGAGCAGUUGCAUAAAAA
RNA transcript from Tripterygium wilfordii, 2344 nucleotides. It is a transcript of the gene named (R)-specific enoyl-CoA hydratase, with no coding region annotated. The record is from RefSeq and is a predicted model, not a curated record. NCBI's taxonomy places the organism in Eukaryota, Viridiplantae, Streptophyta, Magnoliopsida, Celastrales, Celastraceae. The transcript is spliced from 5 exons.